AAAAGACACAAAAUGUAAAAAGGUGAGGGUGGGAACGUUUCUCUCGUAUAAAAAAACAGUAUGUAUGUAGUUUAUGGCGGUAAAUGUAGUAUUUUGAUGGCGUGCGAUACAUGAAUGUGUUUCUUUCUUUUUCUUUUCUCAUUGUUUUAGAGUGUUUGAACGAACAGAGAAGAUAAAAGAAAAAGAAAAAAAAAAAAGAGCGAUGUAUGAAACGGGUGUGAAGAAAAUGAAACGCUGAUUGAUCGAUAGUGAACGAUGAGAUAUGGUAAAAGAAAAAGACGGAUCGCUAGAAUUGUUAUAUAUGAUUAAAUAGAGUCGUGGUGUAAGUAUGGCUGCUAAUGUGAUAUAUAUAGGUGAAAAGAAGAGGAAAAAAAAAAAAAGAGAAAAAAUAGAAAAAAAAGAAAGAAAUUGAGUCGCAAAUAGGUUUUCAAAUAGGCUUCAGAAAGUUAUGCCACAGGUAUGUUCUAUGGAGCGUGAUAUUCUCACGUACACCGGCUACGUGGUUGUUCGUGGGGGGUGGGGGGACAGUUUUUCCAGCAUCGAAAUGCGUUUUAUCAUCCUCCAGACACCGUGGAUCGACGAAUCCGUCAAUAUCUGUUUGUAUGGCCUUUGAUCGGACAACACAGAGCAGUCACGUUUCGUUGAUCUCAAGAUGGAAACUUGAGGAUCUUUAAAAACAAACAUCCCGAUGCGGAGGACGCGCUGCAAGGAGUACUUACCAUCGAAAGAGACGUACAAGAGCAUUCGUUUGAAUUACGAAUAUAAUAUUCUUGCAAAUUAAUUACAAAUAUUUUUUUUUUUUAAUUUUCAAAAACGAAAAAAAAUGAUGAUUUACAAAUAUAUAUAUAUAUAUAGCGUCCCUUUUUCCGGUGUAGCACAGAGCCAUAGUCCGUUGCAUACGACGCAAAAAAUGCUGAUUAUUGAAAUGAUAUUUAGAUGAAUGAACAUGUUCGAAUUAUAUUAGUCAAAAUUUCGGAAUCACUAUGGGUAAAAAGAAAGUAUAUUCAUAAGCUUGAUCAAAGAUUUUUUUUUUAAUUAAAAAAUAAAAUUAUAAUUUAUAAAAAGAUAUGUCAAAAGUAAAAUUAUUUAAUUAGUAAGAAAUUGAAUAUAAAUGGUGGAAUUAGGAAAGUGAUUCCAAAUUUUUGACAAAUAUUUUACGAUUUUUUCCAAAGUAGUAUCGUAUUACAGAUACAUUAUUAAUGGAUGGAACGUAGCAUGGCUCUGCGAGUCACUGAAAAGCGGAAAUCAAACUAAAUGGGGCUCAGCACUUGCACUCUGCGACGAUAUUAUCGGGAACGAUAUUACCGAUAGUUCACCAUUCGUGACGUUAAUGCAGCAAAUCGCUUCGCGAUAAUUGGCUCGUACGUCACUUCCAGGUACGCCAGUAUAAAAGGAAUUGAACGCGGCAGCAGAGUGCAGAUCUUGGCCACGGGAUUGUGCUUAGAAGGAUGAUAAACACGAUACUUAAUAAUCAUGACGACCAAGUGGUAUUGAGGCUAAGGUGUACAAAGAAGUAAUAAAUGGGGAAUAUAUGAUGAGAUAUAUUUUCGGUUGCUAUUUUAAAUGCAGACAGCCAGCGACAAAUGGGAAACAAAUGUUGAGCGGAGUUGUGUCUGCAGGAUACUCAGGGUACUGGACCUGGAAAGCAGGACCUGGAAACAAAGGAUUAAGAUAUCCUCUUCCAUCGUGGUAGACGAAGAUGUCCUCCGGCGACUGCACGUUGACGUCGAUCCCUUUGGUACACGCUGAGGUUUUCUUCACUGGCUGUCUAACCUUACUUCACUACGAGAAUAUCUCACCUGUAUCGCUAGAGAGACCGAGGUGGCGGUACACAUCAUCACACGUUGCACUGAUGUGAUAUAAAACCUCGAGACCAUUCGAGGAUGCUCUUCUUUUUUUUUUUUUUUUUUUUUUUUUUUUUUUUUUUUUUUACACAGUUGCAACUCUAUCUAUCUCUUGUAGAGAUAAAACUUUCAUUGCUGCACCACCACCUCUUUCAUAAUACUUUUCUGGCGUCGACGUACCGGAAGAACGAUCAUUAGAUCCUUAUUUAUAUUAUACAACUUAAAUUAAUAUAAUUUAUCCAUUGCUGAUAAAUAUAAAUAAUAGAGAUUAUAAAGAUUGUAUAUAAAAGAGAGAUUGAAAAUGUGAUUGUUAUUAAGUACGUGAUGUAAGAGUGAUGCGAGAAAUGGAAAGAAAAGAUUUCAAAAAUGUUUGUUAAUAAAUUUUAUAAAAUUAACGUCGGUCGGUUCGUCGAAAAACCAGCGCGUCGCCGCCAGAUGCCAACAGAGUAACAGUAACAAACAUGAUGGGAGGUGAUUCGGCAAUUCGACUAUUCCCCUUAUUAGUCUCACCUUGAUCACCUUCAGAGACACCAAGGCUAAGAAAGGUCAAUUAUAGGAGGAACGAGUGUAACA
RNAcentral lists this long non-coding RNA (2417 nucleotides) under Apis mellifera (honey bee). Its description in RNAcentral is "uncharacterized LOC113219149". The record is from RNAcentral. Lineage: Eukaryota; Metazoa; Arthropoda; Insecta; Hymenoptera; Apidae.